CUUAGAAGUUGAAGACAAUGAUAAUAGCAAUGAUAAUGAUUGUUGUUAAUAAUAGCAAUAUCAAUGGUAACAAAAAAUCCUCUCUGGGCCUGAUUUGAUCACCUGUAAAACAAAGAGAGUAAAUUAAAUACAUGUUCUUUAACUUCAGUUCCCUCCCUGAAUGUCCAUAGUUUCUACUUUUUAAUUCAUUUUUUUUUUCCAGACGAGAAGGCCACAGAUGUGCUUUCAUCUUAUUUUACUCCUGUGGACACUCUAGUCAUUUCUCUCAGACUGGGGCCUGUUUGCCAAUCCUGGAGGCUGAGGAUAAGAAGCACUAUUGCAGAAGAACAUGUGCCUGCAUUUCACAGAGAAGAAACUCGAGGCUGAGAAUUUGCCUUCUCUGAGGACACAGAGUCAGGCCUGGCUGCAGGGGGAGCACCUCAGAUGCUGCUGUUGCUGGUGGAACUGGAUUGACCAAGGAAGCACUGCUGCCCCCUGUUGCUCCGAAGGGCAAUCUGCAGUCUCCGGGCAAAGGAGCAUCUUUGGAGACCCCUGCACCUCAUUGGCAGCAGCUGUCCUGGGUGGGUUCUGAGUUCACCACGCCUGGCAGAACUCAUCCUGAGUCAUGCUGGGGAGGCUGGUCAGGAGGGACCCAGGAACCAGGAGCAGAACUUUUGCUGGAGAAGCAAGAUCUGGGAGAUCAACUCCCGAUGCAUGGAGUAUUGUCCUAUUCCUCCUUGACAGAUAUCUGCUGCCUCCAGAGUGAUUUUUGUGAUGUGGAACCACAGCCUGCAUAUGAUCUGGGAAGGGACAAACAGAGGGUCACCAAGGCGUGCUGUCCACAGAGCCUCUGUGGACAGAGACACAGGCGUCACAGGCAGUUAGCUGGGAGGGUACUUCCUUCAGUCCCAGGGUUUGCCUGUCUGGUGGGGGUGCCUGUCUACCAAAAGGACCUUUUACAUCCUCACACCCAACACUGGCAUCUAUGCUUCUUUCUUACAAAAUGAAACAAUAAGGGUGAAAUGACUCACAGGAGAAAAGGACCACUGGGUCUCUAAAUGGCAUCUUCUCCAAGCUCAUUUGCAGAUCAUUAAAUACUUAACUGGGGAAGAAAGAAAGGAUUGAUGUGUUCCAGG
Molecule: long non-coding RNA, 1115 nt
Filed under: Heterocephalus glaber (naked mole-rat)
Lineage: Eukaryota; Metazoa; Chordata; Mammalia; Rodentia; Bathyergidae
Description: lncRNA (ENSHGLG00100048304.1)
Source: RNAcentral